UACGGAGGGUGCAAGCGUUAUCCGGAUUCACUGGGUUUAAAGGGUGCGUAGGAGGGCAGGUAAGUCAGUGGUGAAAUCCCCGAGCUUAACUUGGGAACUGCCGUUGAUACUAUCUGUCUUGAAUAUUGUGGAGGUGAGCGGAAUAUGUCAUGUAGCGGUGAAAUGCUUAGAUAUGACAUAGAACACCAAUUGCGAAGGCAGCACGCCUACACAUAUAUUGACUCUGAGGCACGAAAGCGUGGGGAUCAAACAGG
Molecule: ribosomal RNA, 254 nt
Filed under: uncultured bacterium
Lineage: Bacteria
Description: partial 16S ribosomal RNA
Rfam family: Bacterial small subunit ribosomal RNA
Source: RNAcentral